RNAcentral lists this long non-coding RNA (369 nucleotides) under Daucus carota (carrot). Its description in RNAcentral is "long non-coding RNA (DCAR_LNC006335)". Lineage: Eukaryota; Viridiplantae; Streptophyta; Magnoliopsida; Apiales; Apiaceae. The record is from RNAcentral.
AAUGGUUCCCCUGUAUUUGGGCAAAUCAUAUUUUGAGGAACAUAUUUUUACUGCUCUGUCUUAAUUUGUGCUUGGAUAGCCUUCACGACUUGCUUCUAAUUGCGCUCACAACUUCCUCAGCAUUGUGUUGGAGGCGAUUACUACCGUUGCUCGGAUCUACUGAUGGAGGAGGUAUUUCCUUCUCCCCAAUAUCUAUAUCACUUCCCUUUUUUAGGUUAAUCUCUUUUUGUGUCAAGUGAUUAUUUGAUUUCUUGAUUUUCUACUAAAAUGGUGAGGCUUUUGCACUCCAUCUGUUUGAUGAGAAUACUGAUACAGUUUUAUGAUUUAUCGAAAUGUAAGGAUUUAGUACUGCAGUCCAUGUGUCUCCUC